GUAAGUAUCCCUAUAACUGCUGAAUAUUGAUAUGAGUUGCACUUACAGAAAUUUAAUAGGAUUAUAUAUUAAAGUUAUAAAUUCAAUAAUAACAACAAGGGGUUGAACCUUUUUUAUACAUCUGUAUUGCAGGAGGGAAGGAAAUAAUAGGUCUUAGGAAUGUCUAUCAGCCCGUAAAAAAAUAUUUCUUGUGUUUCUGUCCAUACAAAGAUUUCGAAGUAAGUAACUUUUGAUUAAUUUUCGUCUCAAUCACCACUCCAUAUUUGCAUCUUUAUUCCUCACUAGCUGUCAUUUCUUACUGUUGUUUAUUGCCAGUAAGUUCUGUACUAUUCCUUCUAUACUCUAACAAUCUAUUUUUGUUUUACGUUUUGUUCCUAAUGAUCUCUUUCUCUUAAUGUUACAUUUUAUUACUUCUCGAAUAUUUAUAUUUUUUUGCACCCAUUACAGGUGCUUUUAAGGCCGUAUUUAAGUCAGGGGUCUAGAAUCUUGAUGGAUUUUUUUUCAAAAGUAGGAUAAUUUUAUUCGAUAAAAUGAGAAUUUCCCUUUAUACACGUCGUAUUUGUUAAUAAUGAUAACAGUAUAACAUAUUGUGUUGUUUUAUUGUGAUAACAGUUUCGUCUUUGCGACAGCUGUUUGACAAACAUCGAAUCCGCGAAUUUACGACUGCGAAAAUCGACGUAGACGUGUGCCCCGGAAAAACAAAA
Molecule: non-coding RNA, 704 nt
Organism: Cinara cedri
Lineage: Eukaryota; Metazoa; Arthropoda; Insecta; Hemiptera; Aphididae
Source: the annotation of a GenBank genome assembly